RNAcentral lists this ribosomal RNA (496 nucleotides) under uncultured bacterium. RNAcentral's name for it is "partial 16S ribosomal RNA". It matches the Rfam family "Bacterial small subunit ribosomal RNA", at positions 28 to 506 of the family's 1533-position model. The record is from RNAcentral.
GACGAACGCUGGCGGCGUGCCUAAUACAUGCAAGUUGAGCGCUGAAGGUUGGUACUUGUACCAACUGGAUGAGCAGCGAACGGGUGAGUAACGCGUGGGGAAUCUGCCUUUGAGCGGGGGACAACAUUUGGAAACGAAUGCUAAUACCGCAUAAAAACUUUAAACACAAGUUUUAAGUUUGAAAGAUGCAAUUGCAUCACUCAAAGAUGAUCCCGCGUUGUAUUAGCUAGUUGGUGAGGUAAAGGCUCACCAAGGCGAUGAUACAUAGCCGACCUGAGAGGGUGAUCGGCCACAUUGGGACUGAGACACGGCCCAAACUCCUACGGGAGGCAGCAGUAGGGAAUCUUCGGCAAUGGACGAAAGUCUGACCGAGCAACGCCGCGUGAGUGAAGAAGGUUUUCGGAUCGUAUAACUCUGUUGGUAGAGAAGAACGUUGGUGAGAGUGGAAAGCUCAUCAAGUGACGGUAACUACCCAGAAGAGGACGGCUAACUACGU